GCUAAUACCGCAUAUUCUGUGAGCAGGAAAGCAGGGGAUCGCAAGACCUUGCGCUGAUUGAGCGGCCGAUAUCAGAUUAGCUUGUUGGUGAGGUAAAAGCUCACCAAGGCGACGAUCUGUAGCGGGUCUGAGAGGAUGAUCCGCCACACUGGAACUGAGACACGGUCCAGACUCCUACGGGAGGCAGCAGUGGGGAAUUUUGGACAAUGGGGGCAACCCUGAUCCAGCCAUGCCGCGUGAGUGAAGAAGGCCUUCGGGUUGUAAAGCUCUUUCAGCCGGGAAGAAAACGCAUGGGUUAAUACCCUGUGUGGAUGACGGUACCGGAAUAAGAAGCACCGGCUAACUACGUGCCAGCAGCCGCGGUAAUACGUAGGGUGCGAGCGUUAAUCGGAAUUACUGGGCGUAAAGCGUGCGCAGGCGGUUUUGUAAGACAGGCGUGAAAUCCCCGGGCUUAACCUGGGAACUGCGUUUGUGACUGCAAGGCUAGAGUACGGCAGAGGGGGGUGGAAUUCCACGUGUAGCAGUGAAAUGCGUAGAGAUGUGGAGGAACACCAAUGGCGAAGGCAGCCCCCUGGGUCGAUACUGAUGCUCAUGCACGAAAGCGUGGGUAGCAAACAGGAUUAGAUACCCUGGUAGUCCACGCCCUAAACGAUGUCAACUAGGUGUUGGGAGGGUAAAACCUUUUAGUACCGGAGCUAACGCGUGAAGUUGACCGCCUGGGGAGUACGGCCGCAAGGUUAAAACUCAAAGGAAUUGACGGGGACCCGCACAAGCGGUGGAUGAUGUGGAUUAAUUCGAUGCAACGCGAAAAACCUUACCUACCCUUGACAUGCCAAGAACUUUCCAGAGAUGGAUUGGUGCCCGAAAGGGAACUUGGACACAGGUGCUGCAUGGCUGUCGUCAGCUCGUGUCGUGAGAUGUUGGGUUAAGUCCCGCAACGAGCGCAACCCUUGUCGUUAAUUGCCAUCAUUUAGUUGGGCACUUUAACGAGACUGCCGGUGACAAACCGGAGGAAGGUGGGGAUGACGUCAAGUCCUCAUGGCCCUUAUGGGUAGGGCUUCACACGUCAUACAAUGGUCGGUACAAAGGGUCGCCAAGCCGCGAGGUGGAGCCAAUCCCAGAAAGCCGAUCGUAGUCCGGAUCGCAGUCUGCAACUCGACUGCGUGAAGUCGGAAUCGCUAGUAAUCGUGGAUCAGAAUGUCACGGUGAAUACGUUCCCGGGUCUUGUACACACCGCCCGUCACACCAUGGGAGCGGGUUCCGCCAGAAGUAGGUAGCCUAACCGCAAGGAGGGCGCUUACCACGGCG
This 1308-nucleotide ribosomal RNA is filed under the name metagenome. Its description in RNAcentral is "bacterial SSU rRNA". It matches the Rfam family "Bacterial small subunit ribosomal RNA", at positions 162 to 1464 of the family's 1533-position model. The record is from RNAcentral.